RNAcentral lists this ribosomal RNA (253 nucleotides) under uncultured bacterium. RNAcentral describes it as "partial 16S ribosomal RNA". It matches the Rfam family "Bacterial small subunit ribosomal RNA", at positions 524 to 776 of the family's 1533-position model. The record is from RNAcentral.
UACGAAGGGGGCUAGCGUUGCUCGGAAUCACUGGGCGUAAAGCGCACGUAGGCGGCUUUCUAAGUCAGGGGUGAAAUCCUGGAGCUCAACUCCAGAACUGCCUUUGAUACUGGGGAUCUUGAGUUCGGGAGAGGUGAGUGGAACUGCGAGUGUAGAGGUGAAAUUCGUAGAUAUUCGCAAGAACACCAGUGGCGAAGGCGGCUCACUGGCCCGAUACUGACGCUGAGGCACGAAAGCGUGGGGAGCAAACAGG